AACGAACGCUGGCGGCAUGCCUAACACAUGCAAGUCGAACGGGAUCCUGGUUUCGGCCAGGUGAGAGUGGCGGACGGGUGAGUAACGCGUGGGAACCUGCCCAGUGGUGGGGGAUAACUGCGGGAAACUGCAGCUAAUACCGCAUGAGCCCGAAAGGGGAAAGAUUGAUCGCCAUUGGAGGGGCCCGCGUUCGAUUAGGUAGUUGGUGAGGUAACGGCUCACCAAGCCUUCGAUCGAUAGCUGGUCUGAGAGGAUGAUCAGCCACACUGGGGACUGAGAUACGGCCCAGACUCCUACGGGAGGCAGCAGGUGGGGAAUAUUGCGCAAUGGCCGCAAGGCUGACGCAGCGACGCCGCGUGUGGGAUGACGGUCUUCGGAUUGUAAACCACUGUCGAGGGGGAAACGAAUACAGGGCUUCGAU
RNAcentral lists this ribosomal RNA (421 nucleotides) under uncultured bacterium. RNAcentral's name for it is "bacterial SSU rRNA". It matches the Rfam family "Bacterial small subunit ribosomal RNA", at positions 29 to 465 of the family's 1533-position model. The record is from RNAcentral.